Molecule: unclassified non-coding RNA, 157 nt
Filed under: uncultured Sordariomycetes
Lineage: Eukaryota; Fungi; Ascomycota; Sordariomycetes
Description: sequence contains ITS1
Source: RNAcentral
CCGAGUUGCAAGACUCCCAACCCUUGUGAACCUACCUGAGUUGCCUCGGCACGGCGCCCCAGGGCGGGGCCUCGGCCUCCUACGGGAGGCGCCUGCCGGCGAUGGCACCAACCAAACUCUGCCUUAAAUUUCUUCUGAGUCGAUAUUAAAUAAGUCA